RNAcentral lists this long non-coding RNA (502 nucleotides) under Homo sapiens (human). RNAcentral's name for it is "HSALNT0291908". Lineage: Eukaryota; Metazoa; Chordata; Mammalia; Primates; Hominidae. The record is from RNAcentral.
AGGGCAGAGGUGCUGGAGAGAGGCCCCAGGCCCCUCCGCCACCGAGGAAGCAAAGAACCCCGUGAACCAAGUCGCCACUCGAGAUUUUACCCAGUGAGAACAUGUUUAGGACACUUUUCUACAGUGGAAGAAAAGCUUCUGUCUGCAGGUCCAAAGGCACCGUCCUGAGUUGGAAAAAGAUGAAUCAGACCCAGUCCCUCCCUGGAGUUGCUCAGAGGUCUGGAGGAGAAAGGCAUAGAGCCCUUUCAUCAUCCUUGUUGCUUGUCUCAACCACUUUUAAGUCUGCCAACAUCUUUCUGAUCCUUAAGUAAACAGGACAAAUCACUCUGCUGGGAGGCAUGAACUCUCUGCCCUACCUUGGCCUUCUGGAAGUAACGCUGAUUGAACAACAGACAUGCAGUGGGAGGCUGAGCUCCGUUUCUCAUGCCUGUGUGGAGAGCAACUGCGGAAGGUAAUUGUAAGAUUAUUGCAUCUGAAUCAGAACCACAGGAGCAUGCAGCCU